This 574-nucleotide ribosomal RNA is filed under the name uncultured rumen bacterium. RNAcentral describes it as "bacterial SSU rRNA". It matches the Rfam family "Bacterial small subunit ribosomal RNA", at positions 347 to 916 of the family's 1533-position model. The record is from RNAcentral.
GGCAGCAGCUAAGAAUAUUCCGCAAUGGACGAAAGUCUGACGGAGCGACGCCGCGUGGAUGAUGAAGGCCGGAAGGUUGUAAAAUCCUUUUAUGACUGAGGAAUAAGUGAAGUGAGAGAAACGCUUCAUGGUGACUGUAGGUCAUGAAUAAGCAACGGCUAAUUACGUGCCAGCAGCCGCGGUAACACGUAAGUUGCGAGCGUUGUUCGGAAUUAUUGGGCGUAAAGGGUAUGUAGGCGGUUCUGCAAGUCUGGUGUGAAAUUCCGGGGCUCAACCCCGGGACUGCGUUGGAAACUGCGGGACUUGAAUCGCUGAGGGGCAGCCAGAAUUCCAGGUGUAGGGGUGAAAUCUGUAGAUAUCUGGAAGAAUACCAAUGGCGAAGGCGGGCUGCCAGCAGAUGAUUGACGCUGAGGUACGAAGGUGCGGGGAGCAAACAGGAUUAGAUACCCUGGUAGUCCGCACAGUCAACUAUGUACACUGGGUGUCCGGUCAUGAGACUGGGUGCCGAAGCAAACGCGAUAAGUGUACCGCCUGGGGAGUAUGCCCGCAAGGGUGAAACUCAAGGAAUUGACGG